GGUUAAGCGACUAAGCGUACACGGUGGAUGCCCUGGCAGUCAGAGGCGAUGAAGGACGUGCUAAUCUGCGAAAAGCGUCGGUAAGGUGAUAUGAACCGUUAUAGCCGGCGAUGUCCGAAUGGGGAAACCCAGUGCAAUUCGUUGCACUAUCGUUAACUGAAUACAUAGGUUAACGAGGCGAACCGGGGGAACUGAAACAUCUAAGUACCCCGAGGAAAAGAAAUCAACCGAGAUUCCCCCAGUAGCGGCGAGCGAACGGGGAGCAGCCCGGAGUCUGAAUCAGCUUGUGUGUUAGUGGAAGCGUCUGGAAAGUCGCAGGGUACAGGGUGAUACUCCCGUACACUAAAGCACACAGGUUGUGAACUCGAAGAGUAGGGCGGGACACGUGGUAUCCUGUCUGAAUAUGGGGGGACCAUCCUCCAAGGCUAAAUACUCCUGACUGACCGAUAGUGAACCAGUACCGUGAGGGAAAGGCGAAAAGAACCCCGGCGAGGGGAGUGAAAAAGAACCUGAAACCGUGUACGUACAAGCAGUAGGAGCCCCACCACCAAAGCGUUUCGCUUUGCGUGGUGCGCAAAAUGCGUAACGACAGCGCGAUGGACGGUUAACGGAGCGUAAGCGACGUUCAACAUCAAAAUCAGGCAGUGGAGCGUUUUGGGGUGGGGUGACUGCGUACCUUUUGUAUAAUGGGUCAGCGACUUAUAUUCUGUAGCAAGGUUAACCGUAUAGGGGAGCCGCAGGGAAACCGAGUCUUAACUGGGCGUUAAGUUGCAGGGUAUAGACCCGAAACCCGGUGAUCUAGCCAUGGGCAGGUUGAAGGUUGGGUAACACUAACUGGAGGACCGAACCGACUAAUGUUGAAAAAUUAGCGGAUGACUUGUGGCUGGGGGUGAAAGGCCAAUCAAACCGGGAGAUAGCUGGUUCUCCCCGAAAGCUAUUUAGGUAGCGCCUCGUGAAUUCAUCUUCGGGGGUAGAGCACUGUUUCGGCUAGGGGGUCAUCCCGACUUACCAACCCGAUGCAAACUACGAAUACCGAAGAAUGUUAUCACGGGAGACACACGGCGGGUGCUAACGUCCGUCGUGAAGAGGGAAACAACCCAGACCGCCAGCUAAGGUCCCAAAGUCAUGGUUAAGUGGGAAACGAUGUGGGAAGGCCCAGACAGCCAGGAUGUUGGCUUAGAAGCAGCCAUCAUUUAAAGAAAGCGUAAUAGCUCACUGAUCGAGUCGUCCUGCGCGGAAGAUGUAACGGGGCUAAACCAUGCACCGAAGCUGCGGCAGCGACACUAUGUGUUGUUGGGUAGGGGAGCGUUCUGUAAGCCGUUGAAGGUGGCCUGUGAGGGUUGCUGGAGGUAUCAGAAGUGCGAAUGCUGACAUAAGUAACGAUAAUGCGGGUGAAAAACCCGCACGCCGGAAGACCAAGGGUUCCUGUCCAACGUUAAUCGGGGCAGGGUGAGUCGACCCCUAAGGCGAGGCCGAAAGGCGUAGUCGAUGGGAAACAGGUUAAUAUUCCUGUACUCGGUGUUACUGCGAAGGGGGGACGGAGAAGGCUAUGUUGGCCGGGCGACGGUUGUCCCGGUUUAAGCAUGUAGGCGGAUGUUCCAGGUAAAUCCGGAACGUCACUAACGCUGAGGUGUGAUGACGAGGCACUACGGUGCUGAAGUGACAAAUGCCCUGCUUCCAGGAAAAGCCUCUAAGCAUCAGGUAACAUCAAAUCGUACCCCAAACCGACACAGGUGGUCAGGUAGAGAAUACCAAGGCGCUUGAGAGAACUCGGGUGAAGGAACUAGGCAAAAUGGUGCCGUAACUUCGGGAGAAGGCACGCUGAUGGUAGGUGAAGUGACUUGCUCAUGGAGCUGAAAUCAGUCGAAGAUACCAGCUGGCUGCAACUGUUUAUUAAAAACACAGCACUGUGCAAACACGAAAGUGGACGUAUAGGGUGUGACGCCUGCCCGGUGCCGGAAGGUUAAUUGAUGGGGUUAUCCUCGCGGAGAAGCUCUUGAUCGAAGCCCCGGUAAACGGCGGCCGUAACUAUAACGGUCCUAAGGUAGCGAAAUUCCUUGUCGGGUAAGUUCCGACCUGCACGA
Molecule: ribosomal RNA, 2084 nt
Filed under: Burkholderia contaminans
Lineage: Bacteria; Pseudomonadati; Pseudomonadota; Betaproteobacteria; Burkholderiales; Burkholderiaceae
Description: partial 23S ribosomal RNA
Rfam family: Bacterial large subunit ribosomal RNA
Source: RNAcentral